AUGAAAUACAUGGCAGGACUUUUACUUUCUGACCCCUGGAAUGUCCACCUCUGCAUUUUGCAUUUGCACAGCACAGGGAAAAAAAGUAUCACAUGUAGCAGUUGAACUUUAACAAAAUUAAGUUAUCAUUAUUAAUGAACAUGCUAAAAACAAUUAUAUCUGAAUACUGAUGUCACUAUUGAAGCUUGUCUAUCUGGUGACAUUUACCAGAACCCUAUAAAAGCUACAGUAUAUCCAGUUCAUGACACAGGGGGAAAUGACACACAGUGUGAGAUUUCAGCUCCAUUAUAAACUUUUAAAUUAAUAAAUAAAUAAAAUAAAAAAUGUAAAACAUUUUUCUAUUGAUUUCAGAUGCUCCCAAGAACACAAGGUAUUGGGACUAUUUAUAAAAAGGGCAGUACUUUAUACAUCGGAUCAUCUGAUGGAUGUGAAUGCCCCCAAAUCUUUCAGUCUGCUGGAGUACAGAACAAAAACAACAAAAAUUGUAUCACUGUCCUGAUACUUUUCCAACUUAUAUCAAUGUAUUCACACGGAGAUAAAAUAAACAUUAUAUAUUCAAACUUUAUGUCUAGUGCCAUCCUGGAGCAGAGCACAGUACUACUGCUUGGCUCAGAACACUCAUGGAGCUCAGACCUCUACUCCUGUGUCAGACAAUAUAAAAGCAGGAGAUACGACAGUGCUCGUAUGGACAGUUGUUGGAAUCUCUGUGGCUUUUGCACUCUUUACUGUCAUGGUGUGCACAAGCAGGAAGAAGAGCACCAACAGAGAGAGACGGAGGAGCAGACGCUCUCUUACUAGCAGAGCCUUCAGAGAGUGACAAACGCAGCCAGCGACACAAACUCUGUGCAUCAGAGAGCUGACGAGGCCUCAGUGUGGAAUUAAAACACACAGAGGAGAGAAUCUGCAGAGAAUGAGAAAUGGUGGAGAUCAGGGUGAAAGAGUCUCUUUUUGUCUUUAACUUUACAGAACUGCUGUCUGGUUCUGCUAGAUUAUCCAUUUUAUAAAGAGCUGUUGGUGGAGGAUUUUUCCCAGAGUACUGUAACCCUCUAACCAACAUGCAUGUUCAUGUAACCCUGCUGCAACAUGCAUGUUCAUGUAACCCUGCUGCAUGCAUGCUCCUGUGACACCGUUACACGUUUAUAUAACCCUGUUACUCACACGCUCAUAACUCAUGUACAUGUGCAUGUACUCUCUCACAUUGAAUGGGAAGAUUAUAAUGCAGAUUAAUGCAGAAUAUAAUCUCCAAAUUUAAGUCACUUUUAAAGGCAAGGUCGAAAAUCCUUUACAACAGUGUUUUAGUUUCACAUUUUACAUUGCCUUGUUGUAUUGAGCCCACAUUUACUGUUUCUGUCUGUUUAGCUAUUUGAAAUAAUGC
Long non-coding RNA from Anguilla anguilla (European eel), 1375 nucleotides. RefSeq lists it as uncharacterized. Lineage: Eukaryota; Metazoa; Chordata; Actinopteri; Anguilliformes; Anguillidae. The record is from RefSeq and is a predicted model, not a curated record. The transcript is spliced from 4 exons.